GCCCGAAUUGACAUCCUUUAUCUUACCAACU
RNAcentral lists this small RNA (31 nucleotides) under Chaetoceros debilis. Its description in RNAcentral is "partial Mitochondrion-encoded tmRNA". The record is from RNAcentral. Lineage: Eukaryota; Bacillariophyta; Thalassiosirophyceae; Chaetocerotales; Chaetocerotaceae.